This 429-nucleotide ribosomal RNA is filed under the name Chloroflexota bacterium. RNAcentral's name for it is "Chloroflexi bacterium partial 16S ribosomal RNA". It matches the Rfam family "Bacterial small subunit ribosomal RNA", at positions 355 to 776 of the family's 1533-position model. The record is from RNAcentral. Lineage: Bacteria; Bacillati; Chloroflexota.
UAGGGAAUCUUCGGCAAUGGACGAAAGUCUGACCGAGCAACGCCGCGUGAGUGAAGAAGGUUUUCGGAUCGUAAAACUCUGUUGUUAGAGAAGAACAAGGACGUUAGUAACUGAACGUCCCCUGACGGUAUCUAACCAGAAAGCCACGGCUAACUACGUGCCAGCAGCCGCGGUAAUACGUAGGUGGCAAGCGUUGUCCGGAUUUAUUGGGCGUAAAGCGAGCGCAGGCGGUUUCUUAAGUCUGAUGUGAAAGCCCCCGGCUCAACCGGGGAGGGUCAUUGGAAACUGGGAGACUUGAGUGCAGAAGAGGAGAGUGGAAUUCCAUGUGUAGCGGUGAAAUGCGUAGAGAUCUGGAGGAAUACCGGUGGCGAAGGCGGCCCCCUGGACAAAGACUGACGCUCAGGUGCGAAAGCGUGGGGAGCAAACAGG